CCCUUAGAUGUUCUGGGCUGCACGCGCGCUACACUGAUGCGCUCAACGAGUUUUAACCUUGCCUGGAAAGGUUGGGUAAUCUUUUUAAAACGCAUCGUGAUGGGGAUAGAUUAUUGCAAUUAUUAAUCUUCAACGAGGAAUGCCUAGUAGGCACAAGUCAUCAGCUUGUGCCGAUUACGUCCCUGCCCUUUGUACACACCGCCCGUCGCUACUACCGAUUGAAUGGCUCAGUGAGGCCUUCGGACUGGCCCAGGGAGGUUGGCAACGACCACCCAGGGCCGGAAAGUUGGUCAAACUUGGUCAUUUAGAGGAAGUAAAAGUCGUAACA
This 328-nucleotide ribosomal RNA is filed under the name uncultured eukaryote. Its description in RNAcentral is "partial 18S ribosomal RNA". It matches the Rfam family "Eukaryotic small subunit ribosomal RNA", at positions 1470 to 1796 of the family's 1831-position model. The record is from RNAcentral.